Molecule: ribosomal RNA, 825 nt
Filed under: uncultured Campylobacterota bacterium
Lineage: Bacteria; Pseudomonadati; Campylobacterota
Description: bacterial SSU rRNA
Rfam family: Bacterial small subunit ribosomal RNA
Source: RNAcentral
CGGCCUUUUAAGUUGGAUGUGAAAGCCUAUGGCUCAACCAAGAACUGCAUCCAAAACUAUUGGGCUAGAGUGUGGGAGAGGAAGAUGGAAUUAGUUGUGUAGGGGUAAAAUCCGUAGAGAUAACUAGGAAUACCAAAAGCGAAGGCAAUCUUCUGGAACAUUACUGACGCUGAGGCGCGAAAGCGCGGGGAGCAAACAGGAUUAGAUACCCUGGUAGUCCACGCCCUAAACGAUGAAUGUUAGUCGUCGGGUAGCUAGUCUAUUCGGUGAUGCAGCUAACGCAUUAAACAUUCCGCCUGGGGAGUACGGUCGCAAGAUUAAAACUCAAAGGAAUAGACGGGGACCCGCACAAGUGGUGGAGCAUGUGGUUUAAUUCGAAAAUACGCGAAGAACCUUACCUAGCCUUGACAUAUAUUAGAACACUUUAGAGAUAGAGUGGUGCCUUCGGGAGCUUUUAUACAGGUGCUGCACGGCUGUCGUCAGCUCGUGUCGUGAGAUGUUGGGUUAAGUCCCGCAACGAGCGCAACCCUCGUCACUAGUUACUAACGGUUCGGCCGAGGACUCUAGUGAGACUGCCUUCGUAAGGAGGAGGAAGGUGAGGACGACGUCAAGUCAUCAUGGCCCUUACGGCUAGGGCAACACACGUGCUACAAUGGCCAGGACAAUGAGAAGCGAUACCGCGAGGUGGAGCAAAUCUAUAAACCUGGUCUCAGUUCGGAUUGUAGUCUGCAACUCGACUACAUGAAGCUGGAAUCACUAGUAAUCGUAGAUCAGCUAUGCUACGGUGAAUACGUUCCCGGGUCUUGUACUCACCGCCCGUCACAC